CGUGCAGCCGGGAAUGCAAGUCAGAUGUGAAAUCCAUGGGCUUAACCCAUGAACUGCAUUUGAAACUGUAUUUCUUGAGUACUGGAGAGGCAAUCGGAAUUCCUAGUGUAGCGGUGAAAUGCGUAGAUAUUAGGAGGAACACCAGUGGCGAAGGCGGAUUGCUGGACAGCAACUGACGGUGAGGCGCGAAAGUGUGGGGAGCAAACA
RNAcentral lists this ribosomal RNA (207 nucleotides) under uncultured bacterium. RNAcentral describes it as "partial 16S ribosomal RNA". It matches the Rfam family "Bacterial small subunit ribosomal RNA", at positions 568 to 774 of the family's 1533-position model. The record is from RNAcentral.